This 387-nucleotide long non-coding RNA is filed under the name Heterocephalus glaber (naked mole-rat). Its description in RNAcentral is "lncRNA (ENSHGLG00000027326.2)". The record is from RNAcentral. Lineage: Eukaryota; Metazoa; Chordata; Mammalia; Rodentia; Bathyergidae.
UCUGAACAGGAGCAUCACCAGAAGUGAAUUCUCCUGCACUCGUCUCCUCUGACUCUCCCAACACGUGACUCAGCUGAAAGAUUCUGACAGCAGCAGCACAAGCCACUGGCAGUUCGGCAGAGCCAGGUGUUUGGAUUGAGUUGAUCCUGUCCCGUCUCCCCUCCCCAAGUCUCUGAAACCACAGAUCUCACUGGACGCCAGACAAACCCGAGUCUAAGCCUGGUGGGGAGCUCACACUGCCCACCUGGACACAGCACCAAGGAGUUGGCCUGUAGGAGCCACCCCAGGCCAGAGCGCUGAGGCCUGAAGGUUGGGGUGGGAUGUGCGGAGAGGGUGCGGAGGAGAGGCUAGAAUUCCAGAGACCAGAAUCCUGUGUGGAGACCAGCC